GAUGAACGCUGGCGGCGUGCUUAACACAUGCAAGUCGAACGAGAUCCAUUAGCAAUAGGGGUGAAAGUGGCGAACGGGUGAGUAACACGUAGGUAACCUGCACUGAGGCGGGGGAUAACGGCUGGAAACGGUCGCCAAUACCGCAUGAGUCCAUUGAAAAGGGAGUGAGAGGGGGAAAAUUACGGUGCUUCAGGAGGGGCCUGCGUCCGAUUAGCUAGUUGGCGAGGUAACGGCUCACCAAGGCGACGAUCGGUAGCUGGUCUGAGAGGACGAUCAGCCACACGGGAACUGAGAAACGGUCCCGACUCCUACGGGGGGCAGCAGUGAGGAAUAUUGGGCAAUGGGCGGAAGCCUGACCCAGCAACGCCGCGUGAAGGAUGAAGGCCUUCGGGUUGUAAACUUCUUUUAUGGGGGAAGAGUAAGGACGGUACCCCAGGAAUAAGUCACGGCUAACUACGUGCCAGCAGCCGCCGUAA
Molecule: ribosomal RNA, 476 nt
Filed under: uncultured bacterium
Lineage: Bacteria
Description: partial 16S ribosomal RNA
Rfam family: Bacterial small subunit ribosomal RNA
Source: RNAcentral